GAUGAACGCUGGCGGCGUGCUUAACACAUGCAAGUCGAACGGAAAGGCCCUGCUUUUGUGGGGUGCUGGAGUGGCGAACGGGUGAGUAACACGUGAGUAACCUACCCUUGACUUUGGGGUAACUUCAGGAAAAUGGGGCUAAUACCGGAUAGGAUCUCCUGCUGCAUGGUGGGGGUUGGAAAGUUUCGGCGGUUGGGGUUGGUCUCGCGGCUGAUCAGCUUGUUGGUGGUGAAGUGGCUUACCAAGACUUUGACGGGUCGCCGGCGUGAGAGGGGGACCGGCCACAUGGGGACUGAGAUACGGCACAGAGUAGUACGGGAGGCAGGGGUGGGGAAUAUAGCACAAUGGGCCGAAGCCGGAUGAAGCAACGCCGCGUGCGGGAUGACGGCCUUCGGGGUGAAAACAGCUCUCGCGUGAGACGAAGCGUGAGUGACGGUAACGUGUAAAGAAGCACCGGCUAACUACGUG
This 468-nucleotide ribosomal RNA is filed under the name uncultured bacterium. Its description in RNAcentral is "partial 16S ribosomal RNA". It matches the Rfam family "Bacterial small subunit ribosomal RNA", at positions 28 to 507 of the family's 1533-position model. The record is from RNAcentral.